This 344-nucleotide unclassified non-coding RNA is filed under the name soil metagenome. Its description in RNAcentral is "partial contains 5.8S ribosomal RNA, internal transcribed spacer 2, and large subunit ribosomal RNA". The stretch from base 1 to 120 matches the Rfam family "5.8S ribosomal RNA", at positions 35 to 154 of the family's 154-position model. The record is from RNAcentral.
GAUGAAGAACGUAGUGAAAUGCGAUAAGUAAUGUGAAUUGCAGAAUUCAGUGAAUCAUCGAAUCUUUGAACGCACAUUGCGCCCGCCAGUAUUCUGGCGGGCAUGCCUGUUCGAGCGUCAUUUCAACCCUCAGGGCCCUUUUGGACCUGGCGUUGGGGCUCGGCCGCUACCCUGCGGCCGUCCCCGAAAGAUAGUGGCGGUCUCGCUGUAGCCUCCUCUGCGUAGUAGUUACAUCUCGCACUGGAACGCGGCGCGGCCAUGCCGUUAAACACCCCACUUCUCAAGGUUGACCUCGGAUCAGGUAGGAAUACCCGCUGAACUUAAGCAUAUCAAUAAGCGGAGGA